GAUGAACGCUGGCGGCGUGCCUAAUACAUGCAAGUCGAGCGAACAGACGAGGAGCUUGCUCCCCUGACGUUAGCGGCGGACGGGUGAGUAACACGUGGAUAACCUACCUAUAAGACUGGGAUAACUUCGGGAAACCGGAGCUAAUACCGGAUAAUAUAUUGAACCGCAUGGUUCAAUAGUGAAAGACGGUUUUGCUGUCACUUAUAGAUGGAUCCGCGCCGCAUUAGCUAGUUGGUAAGGUAACGGCUUACCAAGGCAACGAUGCGUAGCCGACCUGAGAGGGUGAUCGGCCACACUGGAACUGAGACACGGUCCAGACUCCUACGGGAGGCAGCAGUAGGGAAUCUUCCGCAAUGGGCGAAAGCUUGACGGAGCAACGCCGCGUGAGUGAUGAAGGGCUUCGGAUCGUAAAACGCUGUUAUUAGGGAAGAACAAAUGUGUAAGUAACUAUGCACGUCUUGACGGUACCUAAUCAGAAAGCCACGGCUAACUACGU
Molecule: ribosomal RNA, 496 nt
Filed under: uncultured bacterium
Lineage: Bacteria
Description: partial 16S ribosomal RNA
Rfam family: Bacterial small subunit ribosomal RNA
Source: RNAcentral